Long non-coding RNA from Lactuca sativa (garden lettuce), 2191 nucleotides. RefSeq lists it as uncharacterized. The record is from RefSeq and is a predicted model, not a curated record. Lineage: Eukaryota; Viridiplantae; Streptophyta; Magnoliopsida; Asterales; Asteraceae.
GCUAAGGAUGGACAAAAAUGGUCCCCUGUUUAUGUAUAUGUGUUAAAAAAAACCUCCGUUUUCUGCUUUGGGUCUUUUUUGUCAUUGUCUGCAUUCUUGCUGUACGCGUGUUGUUUGCGCUUUGGUUCACCGUUUUCUCACCCAAUGAUAUUCCGAUUUCUGUAAAGCACCGCCAAUGAUCCCACUGUCACUGCCUUAUCAAUACAGGUUCUGCUUCGGUUGAAUUUUUCUCCCAAAUCCGAAAUCGCUAACUGCAUUCUUGUGCUCACUGCCGCUUCACUCUUCGUAUCUACCGCUUCUCGCUUCUUCUUCACCACCGAUCUGACCCGUUUUUCUACUUGCUCCAGGCAUUUGAGGAUUACAUGCAGUGAUUAAGGCCUACAGCAUCAGCCUGAGACAUUUCUCGACAAAAGGAUUCUUAGACAAGUAUGGGCCUGAGAGAGUACUUGACCAACCUGUUGGCAGUUGGAACCGAGGAGGCUUUCACUACCACCGCCCACCACCGUAUACGCUGCAGCACCCUUGAUGUUGUACUGGGAUUUGAAGGAUAGUUUGACUAUGCUCCCUAACUGGUCGAUGAAAUGCUUGAACCAUGGCUAUGAAAAACUAUAAUUACGAUGAGGACCCUUUACCCGCUUCCUGUGGAAUCACUAUUGAGAAACAACUUGCUCAAGUUCAGGGUUGUGUUCUUGAGGCACCAAAGGAUGAUUCUUAUGCUGAUAGUUAGAUAAGAGUACCAUCGGAGUUGAUUUCAAAAGUAGGACUAUGGAGCUGGAUGGGAAGCUGCAGAUUCGGGAUACUGCUGGCCAGGAGUGGUUUCAUACUAUAACCAGUAGUUACUACAGAGAAGCCCAUGGGAUAAUCGUAAGAAUUAAUUUUUAUGAUUUAUUAAAAAUUUCUGAAAAAAGCUCCAUAAUUACUUUCAUUUUCAUAAACUAGAUAUCAAUUCACUGCAAUUCAAUUGAAGUUCAUAAUUUUUUUUUUUGCAACACCCAUCUUGUAUUUGUAAAUUUAAUAAAAGUAGAUCACCCCCCCUUUAAAACCCCCUUAAAGAUGAGACAAAUCUUUUGAGCUAAAACAAAUGAAAAUUGCUAUUUUUGUAAUGAUUCCAUAGGGAAUGUAGCUAUUGUUACCUGGUAAGAUUUUCUAAAGAAGAGAAAUGUUGCAAAUCUUGAGGAAUUAUGAAGUAAGCUUUAAUCAUUAAAUUGCAUUUACUUUUUCCGCCCAAUGCAUUCAUAUUGAUAGUUGUGGGGAGAACCCAUCUGACAAACCAGUAAAAUUUUGUGUCCCAAAAUAUAAAAUUGGAUAUUAUUUAGCUAAAAAAGAAAGUUAUGACUUUUGGUUAUACGUAGCAUUAUACUUUUGACUUCAAAGUAACCUUUUUCCAUUCAUUUUUAAGUAACUACUUCAAUUAAACAAUGAAUUUAGUCAUUUGGAAGGUAACUGAUUCAAAAUAAUAUAAAAUCAUAAUUAUAAUUCCCAUUUGUUUGCAUCUUUUAAAACAAUUGAUACAUAUUGUGUAUGAUGUCACUGUUAUGGAAAGCUUCAACAACGUGUAUGUUCUCUUUCUCACUCUCUAUUUUACUUUGUGACAUUUACCCCAUCUUCUGAGGGUAAAACUGGAAAAUCAGAUGGAAAUUGGUCUGGGGCAGGUGUUCUUUAUAGUUAGUGUAUCUUUCAACCUUAAAUUAGUUUUGAAAAUUUUUCUUUAUAUUUAAGAGGUUAUUGUGUUGGUUUUGUGGUUAAGAAAAAUGUAUAUAUUGUGUACAAUUGCCAACAAAUAUGGGAUAAUUGGCCAACUAAAAGAGAACAAAAGUUAUUUGUUUUUGUGUUGAAAUUUAAACUUCAUUUGUCACCUUCUUGAAGUCAUAAUAUGGGCUCAAUUUGAAAUUCAUCAAAAAAUUUCUAGCAAUACUAUAAAACAAGUGAUUGGUGUGCUAACUUGAAUCCAUCUCACCUUCAUAUUGCUUGGCCCAUCCCUAAUCCAUCUCAAUCAAUGGUCGACUUCUUCGACCUAAUGCAAGUGGGAAUAGCUGAUAGGACAAUUAUACGGAAGAUGAGGGGUAAAUUUGUAAAAUCGCUUUGUCUUUGUGGCCAUGUAAGACAGUGUUACCAAUCUCAAACUAAAACAGCAACCUACCCUCCACGAGGAGCGUGGGUAUAACUUAUUUCUUUUAAAUUCAGGGGUAAA